RNAcentral lists this transfer RNA (361 nucleotides) under uncultured Microcystis sp. RNAcentral's name for it is "partial 16S-23S ribosomal RNA intergenic spacer". The stretch from base 136 to 209 matches the Rfam family "tRNA". Lineage: Bacteria; Bacillati; Cyanobacteriota; Cyanophyceae; Chroococcales; Microcystaceae. The record is from RNAcentral.
AAAGGGAGGCCUAAUUCAGGUAAAAGACGAAAAAAAAGUAGUCGCUACCAAGAAUCAAUCCCAAAAGGUCGGAGCGAGGCGAAAUUGGCUUUCAAACUAGGUUCUGGGUUCAAACAAGACCUGAAUCAGGAACAAGGGCUAUUAGCUCAGGUGGUUAGAGCGCACCCCUGAUAAGGGUGAGGUCCCUGGUUCGAGUCCAGGAUGGCCCACCUGCACAGGUGGCAAAAACAAGAGAAGCGAGGAAUCAGCACCUUAUCUUACUGACAUAGUAAGAGAGAAUGCUGGCUCUGAGUAAAGAGUCCAGAGGAACCUUGAAAACUGCAUAGAGCUAGGUGAAAAAGCCAAAAAAGAAGACCGCAAG